GUUGCACGAAACUCCAGCGCAAGAGUCCCGGGCCGCCGCUAGCACCAGCGUGUCACCAAGCCGAGAAGAUCCGCGGGCGAGAGCAGCGCGCGUGUGAGCCGGAGAGGUCCUGUCGCCCUAGUGGAGCCAAGCUGCUAUUCUUCUCAAGUUGAGCCUUAGUGAUUCUGUGGCUGAAAGACCCGAAACCCUCCAGCUGGGCGCGCCAUCGUGUGCCUUCUUUGUGUACCUCCCGGACUCACCGCUCCCGACCGGGCCUCCAAGCCCGGGUACAAAGCGGUCAGACCGCGCCGCCCUCCUCCCCCGCACGCGCUCCAGCCUCGGUUUCCCAGCUCGGCGCCGUCGGGCCGCGGCAGGAUGAUCGCCUCGCAUCUGCUCGCCUACUUCUUUACGGAGCUCAACCAUGACCAAGUGCAGAAG
Molecule: long non-coding RNA, 417 nt
Organism: Physeter macrocephalus (sperm whale)
Lineage: Eukaryota; Metazoa; Chordata; Mammalia; Artiodactyla; Physeteridae
Exons: 2
Source: RefSeq, a predicted model, not a curated record